Molecule: long non-coding RNA, 373 nt
Organism: Zingiber officinale
Lineage: Eukaryota; Viridiplantae; Streptophyta; Magnoliopsida; Zingiberales; Zingiberaceae
Exons: 3
Source: RefSeq, a predicted model, not a curated record
ACCCCAUCUCCUCCAUCGAUCCAGCUAGUUUGGAGGUCGCGUUUCCUUCCGGAUCAUCGCCUCUGCGCGGGCAACCUCUCGGUGGAGUUGAAAGGAGAUCCGAACCCUAGCCUUCGCCAUCUACCUUGCGGAGCCGUGCCACUCGAUCGCCGGUGUGGAAGAGCAAUUAGGGCUUCAAAGGAUUGAGGUUACGGGAUUGGAGAAGAAGAGUGAGGUUCUGUUCUGAUCAGAUCUUGGACUUCUCAUUGUUGCCGAUUGAAGUCUCAGAUUGGAGUAAGGUUAGGUUCUGUGGUUAUGAGGUGUAUCCAGCAGAGAGGUUGUUUGUUUUUGGUUUGGCAGCCACCUAUCCAUCAGUGAUCCAGCAUCAACAGCA